This 64-nucleotide transfer RNA is filed under the name Procecidochares utilis. RNAcentral describes it as "tRNA-Ala". Lineage: Eukaryota; Metazoa; Arthropoda; Insecta; Diptera; Tephritidae. The record is from RNAcentral.
AGGAUAAUAGUUAACUAUAAUAUUUAUUUUGCAAUUAAAAGGUAUUGAAUUCCAAUUUAUCUUA